Molecule: long non-coding RNA, 290 nt
Filed under: Setaria italica (foxtail millet)
Lineage: Eukaryota; Viridiplantae; Streptophyta; Magnoliopsida; Poales; Poaceae
Description: long non-coding RNA (SITA_LNC006091)
Source: RNAcentral
GAAAAAUAUGUAGAACAAUUUGGUAAACGUGGUUAGCAAACUCGCAUCCCACGGUUCCGUGUUUAUAUAGUGCUGGAGGCUGUCACAAAAUACAUGAGAUAGAUUACAGCUUGUCUUUUGAGCAUACGGUUAAACCAUCCUAACUCUACCAAGGACGUUACAAUAUUCUAGGACUCUAUCUCUCGGAGCUGGAUAGACUCGUGCACCUUAUCCUUGCCUUGCGUCAUACCUCAACCAGGUUGUCGUGCGUUACGCUUGAGUAGUCCUAUACCAACACGUUUUGCUUAACA